Amphiprion ocellaris (clown anemonefish) is the source of this 343-nucleotide long non-coding RNA. The record is from Ensembl. NCBI's taxonomy places the organism in Eukaryota, Metazoa, Chordata, Actinopteri, Pomacentridae.
GAUUUUUCCCUCCUCGACAUGAUGCUCCACUCUCUGAAACUACCGACCUGACUGUGAACACCGUUGACACCCACCUGAGGGAGACGCUGUCUAAGAUCUCAAGGCUGCUUGGUCGUGGUCUUUCUGGCACGUACUCUUCCAAGAUGAGCCGGGAAGUUUAACACUGAUGGAAUAACACCAGGUCUUAGCCGACAAACUUCCACUUCCUCCUAGACCCAUAGUCUCUGGGAAACCUACAUGGAUGAUAAGACGUUGCUGUUACGUGCUGGAGGUUGAUGUUGACAGGGUCGGUGUCCGAGUUGGUGCUGAAGCUGGUGCUGGAGAGGAGGCAGGGGAGCUGGAG